Long non-coding RNA from Ochotona curzoniae (black-lipped pika), 531 nucleotides. RefSeq lists it as uncharacterized. The transcript has 3 exons. The record is from RefSeq and is a predicted model, not a curated record. Lineage: Eukaryota; Metazoa; Chordata; Mammalia; Lagomorpha; Ochotonidae.
AACCUGAGAGUAUAUGGAUCAGGGGUUGUCAUAAUCUCUUUUUUGUUAGAAUCGAACAACACACAUCAGGUAAUUUAUAAGGAAAUGAAAUGUAUGUCUUACAGUUGUCUGAUAGCUGGAAAGUCCAAGCUGACAAGGCCACAUUUGGUGAGAUCCUUCCAGUCAACAGAGACCCUCUGCUGAGCUCCAGAGUGACACAAGCCAUCAUGGGGCAAUCCCUUCUGGAAACUCCCAUCCCUGAACUCCCUGUGGGCAUUUGACAACACUCAAGGUCUCAUGCCACCAGGAUAGAAUUAUCUGAUAACAAUCACAGAGAGAGAGAUCUUCCCUUCUCCCGAUAUAAAGACAGAGAGAGAAAUAGAGCUCCCCAAAUCACCGCAACAACCAGCAGCCAAGAACUCGAUCCAGGUCAUCCAACUGGAUGGAAGGGACCCAACUACCUGUGGCAUCAUCACCUCUGCCUCUCAGACUCUGCAUCAGCAGGAAGCUGGAGUCAGGAACCAGAGCAGAGUAUUGAGACCCAGGUACUCC